This 448-nucleotide ribosomal RNA is filed under the name uncultured bacterium. Its description in RNAcentral is "bacterial SSU rRNA". It matches the Rfam family "Bacterial small subunit ribosomal RNA", at positions 329 to 794 of the family's 1533-position model. The record is from RNAcentral.
UGCCAGACUCCUACGGGAGGCAGCAGUGGGGGAUAUUGGACAAUGGGGGGAACCCUGAUCCAGCGAUGCCGCGUGAGGGAAGAAGGUUUUCGGAUUGUAAACCUCUGUGGACAGGGACGAUAAUGACGGUACCUGUCAAGAAAGCCCCGGCUAACUACGUGCCAGCAGCCGCGGUAAUACGUAGGGGGCAAGCGUUAUCCGGAUUUACUGGGUGUAAAGGGGGCGCAGACGGCGAUGCAAGCCAGGAGUGAAAGCCCGGGGCCCAACCCCGGGACUGCUCUUGGAACUGCGUGGCUGGAGUGCAGGAGGGGCAGGCGGAAUUCCUGGUGUAGCGGUGAAAUGCGUAGAUAUCAGGAGGAACACCGGUGGCGAAGGCGGCCUGCUGGACUGCAACUGACGUUGAGGCCCGAAAGCGUGGGGAGCAAACAGGAUUAGAUACCCGUGUAGA